This 668-nucleotide long non-coding RNA is filed under the name Ursus maritimus (polar bear). Its description in RNAcentral is "lncRNA (ENSUMAG00000011438.1)". The record is from RNAcentral. Lineage: Eukaryota; Metazoa; Chordata; Mammalia; Carnivora; Ursidae.
GUUCUCUUCACGUUGCAGAAACAUAUCUCAAAGUAGAUGUUGUCUCAAAGAGAUUUAUGGGAAGAGAAAUUGGGGAAGAGAAACAGGAACUUAAAACAGGAGCCAAGGACCUCAGCAACCAGAACAAAAGACUCACGCCUUAAGGUCUCUUUGUCUUGACUUCAUUCUCUGCUGCAAGAAGCUUCUCAUGGCUGGAGCAUUGCCCCUUAUAGUGGCCCACCUAAGGGGGAAGAAGGGACUUCCCUUCCAGCUCUGGUUGAAGAUAUCUCUGCUGGAAGAUGCACUUUGAAUGGACAACCUUGGAAUAAUGCCAAAGGCCAACGGGCAGGAUAUGAUGAUUGGCCUGAGUUGCCCACACGUGUUCUUCCUCUCGUGGAUCCACCAUACCACGGGAGCUGCGGGGAGACUCCACAGUGGCCAUUUGAGUUGGUGCUCUUGCUGCUCUGCCCUCUUGAGGCCUGGUUCUUCAUCAUUUCCUGGCUUAGGCUCCCUGGUUGGGCACAGAGAGGAAGUCACUGUCUUUGGAUUUUCAGGACACCUGGAGUUUCCUUAGACUCCCUUUAUGCCACCUCACCUCUGCCCACUGCUACCUAGACUUUCCCUCCCAGGUGUUGUCACUGGCUGAACUUAUAGUUUGGAAUAAAACUAAGCAAUUUUAUUAAUUGUCA